This 404-nucleotide ribosomal RNA is filed under the name uncultured prokaryote. RNAcentral describes it as "bacterial SSU rRNA". It matches the Rfam family "Bacterial small subunit ribosomal RNA", at positions 355 to 774 of the family's 1533-position model. The record is from RNAcentral.
UGAGGAAUAUUCCACAAUGGGCGAAAGCCUGAUGGAGCAACGCCGCGUGCAGGAUGAAGGCCUUCGGGUCGUAAACUGCUUUUAUAAGUGAAGAAUAUGACGGUAACUUAUGAAUAAGCACCGGCUAACUACGUGCCAGCAGCCGCGGUCAUACGUAGGGUGCAAGCAUUAUCCGGAGUGACUGGGCGUAAAGAGUUGCGUAGGUGGUUUGUUAAGUGAAUAGUGAAAUCUGGGGGCUCAACCUCACAGACUAUUAUUCAAACUGGCAAACUCGAGAAUGGUAGAGGUAACUGGAAUUUCUUGUGUAGGAGUGAAAUCCGUAGAUAUAAGAAGGAACACCAAUGGCGUAGGCAGGUUACUGGACCAUUUCUGACACUGAGGCACGAAAGCGUGGGGAGCGAACC